Molecule: ribosomal RNA, 384 nt
Filed under: uncultured soil bacterium
Lineage: Bacteria
Description: bacterial SSU rRNA
Rfam family: Bacterial small subunit ribosomal RNA
Source: RNAcentral
AGAAUCAACGCUGGCGGCGUGCCUCAGACAUGCAAGUCGAACGCGAAAGUUCCCUUCGGGGGGCGAGUAGAGUGGCGCACGGGUGAGUAACACGUAGGUAAUCUACCUUCGGAUGGGGAAUAACAACCGGAAACGGUUGCUAAUACCGCAUAAUGCAGCGGCACCUAAUGGUGACAGUUGUUAAAGCGGGGGAUCGAAAGACCUCGCGUCUGAAGAGGAGCCUGCGGCGGAUUAGCUAGUUGGUAGGGUAACGGCCUACCAAGGCUACGAUCCGUAGCCGGCCUGAGAGGGCGGCCGGCCACGACUGACACGUGACAUACGGGUCAGACUCCGUACGGGAGGCAGCAGUACGGGUAAGUUUUGGGACGUAAGUGGGCGGAAGCC